UCGACGGCAGCGCGGGGCAACCUGGCGGCGAGUGGCGAACGGGUGAGUAAUAUAUCGGAACGUACCCUGGAGUGGGGGAUAACGUAGCGAAAGUUACGCUAAUACCGCAUACGAUCUAAGGAUGAAAGUGGGGGAUCGCAAGACCUCAUGCUCCUGGAGCGGCCGAUAUCUGAUUAGCUAGUUGGCGGGGUAAAAGCCCACCAAGGCAACGAUCAGUAGCUGGUCUGAGAGGACGACCAGCCACACUGGAACUGAGACACGGUCCAGACUCCUACGGGAGGCAGCAGUGGGGAAUUUUGGACAAUGGGCGCAAGCCUGAUCCAGCAAUGCCGCGUGAGUGAAGAAGGCCUUCGGGUUGUAAAGCUCUUUUGUCAGGGAAGAAACGGUGGGGGCUAAUAUCCCCCGCUAAUGACGGUACCUGAAGAAUAAGCACCGGCUAACUACGUGCCAGCAGCCGCGGUAAUACGUAGGGUGCAAGCGUUGAUCGGAAUUACUGGGCGUAAAGCGUGCGCAGGCGGUUUUGUAAGUCUGUCGUGAAAUCCCCGGGCUCAACCUGGGAAUUGCGAUGGAGACUGCAAGGCUAGAGUUUGGCAGAGGGGGGNAAAAUUCCACGUGUAGCAGUGANAUGCGUAGAUAUGUGGAGGAACACCGAUGGCGAAGGCAGCCCCCUGGGUCAAAACUGACGCUCAUGCA
This 693-nucleotide ribosomal RNA is filed under the name uncultured bacterium. RNAcentral describes it as "bacterial SSU rRNA". It matches the Rfam family "Bacterial small subunit ribosomal RNA", at positions 62 to 753 of the family's 1533-position model. The record is from RNAcentral.